This 492-nucleotide ribosomal RNA is filed under the name uncultured bacterium. Its description in RNAcentral is "partial 16S ribosomal RNA". It matches the Rfam family "Bacterial small subunit ribosomal RNA", at positions 29 to 507 of the family's 1533-position model. The record is from RNAcentral.
AGUGAACGCUGGCGGUAGGCCUAACACAUGCAAGUCGAACGGCAGCACAGUAAGAGCCUGCUCUUACGGGUGGCGAGUGGCGGACGGGUGUGGAAUACAUCGGAAUCUACUUUUUCGUGGGGGAUAACGUAGGGAAACUUACGCUAAUACCGCAUACGACCUACGGGUGAAAGCAGGGGAUCUUCGGACCUUGCGCGAUUGAAUGAGCCGAUGUCGGAUUAGCUAGUUGGCGGGGUAAAGGCCCACCAAGGCGACGAUCCGUAGCUGGUCUGAGAGGAUGAUCAGCCACACUGGAACUGAGACACGGUCCAGACUCCUACGGGAGGCAGCAGUGGGGAAUAUUGGACAAUGGGCGCAAGCCUGAUCCAGCCAUACCGCGUGGGUGAAGAAGGCCUUCGGGUUGUAAAGCCCUUUUGUUGGGAAAGAAAAGCAGCAGGUUAAUACCCCGCUGUUCUGACGGUACCCAAAGAAUAAGCACCGGCUAACUUCGUG